CGGCGAACCUGGUGCCACCCCUUAGACAAAGUCCCAGUCUCCCAGAGGCUUUUACCAGCUGGCCCCAUUCCUUCUGCUGCUGGGUAUAAUAAGGUCCUCUCAACGCUGAAGUGCCUGUGAAACACAGCCCAGAGGAGUUCUCAUUGGUCCUAUGGGCUUUGUCUUCCUCUCUGCCCCACCCAGAUAAUCGCUGCUGCCCCUCCACUCCCAAGAUGCAGCUGUGAUUCUCCAUCCCCACACAUCCCUCAUCAAUGGUUGACUGCAAAGAAGUGAGAAGCCAAGCUUAGAUUCAUGCUCAUGCCUGAACACCCUGAGAGCCUGGUGCUGGAGGGCUGGGUAUCCCCUUGGCCUGCCACCAGCACCUGCACCCACACCAGGCUGGAGCCACGCUCUGCGCACAGAAGGCCCCAGAUCUCGGGGAGUCCCCGAGACACCCUGAAGGGCUGGCUGGCCGGAGGUCAGGUGUGUUCUCCUGCUCUGAACCCUGGGAGCCCCUUGUGGAGUCUGCUGUCUCCAGGCUGAAGAGGACCAAGGGCACCAAGGCCCCAUUCAGCCCUCCGUGUAUCUAAUAAAGUCUGACCCUGUG
RNAcentral lists this long non-coding RNA (586 nucleotides) under Homo sapiens (human). RNAcentral describes it as "HSALNT0029135". Lineage: Eukaryota; Metazoa; Chordata; Mammalia; Primates; Hominidae. The record is from RNAcentral.